This 449-nucleotide ribosomal RNA is filed under the name uncultured organism. RNAcentral describes it as "partial 16S ribosomal RNA". It matches the Rfam family "Bacterial small subunit ribosomal RNA", at positions 330 to 796 of the family's 1533-position model. The record is from RNAcentral.
CGUACACUCCUACGGGAGGCAGCAGUGGGGAAUAUUGGACAAUGGGCGCAAGCCUGAUCCAGCCAUGCCGCGUGAGUGAUGAAGGCCCUAGGGUUGUAAAGCUCUUUUGUGCGGGAAGAUAAUGACGGUACCGCAAGAAUAAGCCCCAGCUAACUUCGUGCCAGCAGCCGCGGUAAUACGAAGGGGGCUAGCGUUGCUCGGAAUCACUGGGCGUAAAGGGUGCGUAGGCGGGUCUUUAAGUCAGGGGUGAAAUCCUGGAGCUCAACUCCAGAACUGCCUUUGAUACUGAAGAUCUUGAGUUCGGGAGAGGUGAGUGGAACUGCGAGUGUAGAGGUGAAAUUCGUAGAUAUUCGCAAGAACACCAGUGGCGAAGGCGGCUCACUGGCCCGAUACUGACGCUGAGGCACGAAAGCGUGGGGAGCAAACAGGAUUAGAAACCCGGGUAGUCC